GGUCCAAUGGUCUAGUGGUAUGAUUGUAAGUUAUUUCUGACUGCUCCACAUGCAAGAGGCCCCGCGUUCGAAUCGCGGUUGGACCC
This 86-nucleotide transfer RNA is filed under the name Hortaea werneckii EXF-2000. Its description in RNAcentral is "tRNA-Val (CAC) (tRNA-Val-CAC-2-1)". The record is from RNAcentral. Lineage: Eukaryota; Fungi; Ascomycota; Dothideomycetes; Mycosphaerellales; Teratosphaeriaceae.